Molecule: ribosomal RNA, 1267 nt
Filed under: Dendrobaena veneta
Lineage: Eukaryota; Metazoa; Annelida; Clitellata; Crassiclitellata; Lumbricidae
Description: 16S ribosomal RNA
Rfam family: Bacterial large subunit ribosomal RNA
Source: RNAcentral
ACAAAAGUUUACUUCGCUUCUUACAACAAACCUUACAACCACCCCUUAAAUAAAUUAUUUACAUAAAACUAAUUACACUUAUUUUUUUGAUAGUACUAAAUAGGAAUAAAUUAAUAGUAAAAAGUAGUGGUAAAAUCACGUACCUUGUGCAUUAUGGUUUUACAAGCAUAAAAUAAAUUAUAUACUCCCGAAUUCUAUGCGAGCUGUCCAAACAUUGCUAAGAGCCCACUACUAGUUGUAGCAUCAACUUUAGAAAAUGUUUGGACAGAGGCUACAUACCAUACGCGCUAGAAAAUUGCUGGUUUUCAGUAAAAUUUAUAUAUUAAAACAUGUGGUAUACACCACACUGUAAAAUUUAAGAGGAUAAGCCCUUAAAUCCAAAGCUAACAUAAUUUCAUUAUAAACUAAAAUAGGCCUAAUAACAGCCACCUCCAUAACUUUACCGUUUACUUCACACAAUUUAUAAUUAAAAUGCCUCAAUAAGCUGAAAAUUAAGAAUAAUUUUUAAACUCUUAAUUUACUAUGUAAAAAUAAGUAUUAGAAUAUAUUAAUAAAACUUUAUACCUAAUUAACUCUUACUAAGGAACUCGGCAAAUCCUAAUUUCGACUGUUUAACAAAAACAUUGCUUUUUGGAAUAAAUAUAAAAAGUAAUUCCUGCCCAGUGACACAAGUUCAACGGCCGCGGUAUCCUAACCGUGCAAAGGUAGCAUAAUCACUUGCCCAUUAAUUGUGGGCUAGAAUGAAAGGAUUAACGAAAUAAAAGCUGUCUCUGUAAGAAAUAUAAAAAUUAAUCUCUAAUUGAAGAGUAUUAGAUUUAACUGAAGGACAAGAAGACCCUAUAGAGCUUUAUCACAAUGAAAAAACAAAAUAUUCACUAAGAUUCGGUUGGGGCGACCAGGGAAUUUAUAUAUCAUCCCUCAUAACACGAUAAAUUUAUCAAUAUAAAGACCCUUAAUCAAGAUCUAAAAAACAAGCUACCUUAGGGAUAACAGGCUAAUCCCAUUAAAGAGUCCUUAUCUACAAUGGGGUUUGGCACCUCGAUGUUGGCUUAGGGUAUCAGUACGGCGCAAAAGUCCUACAUUGAUGGUUUGUUCAACCAAUAAUCCCCUACAUGAGCUGAGUUCAGACCGGCGUAAGCCAGGUUAGUUUCUAUCCUCAGCUAAAAAUAACUAUUUAUAGUACGAAAGGACCUAAAUAAGUGUAAUAGUUACAUCACAUGAAUAUUAUAAUAUAAAUUAAAUAAAUAAUAUAUACAAAUUAUAUAGU